UGCAAGUCGAACGCGCUCCAUUCGGUAGCAAUACUGAUGAAGAGUGAGUGGCGAACGGGUGAGUAACACAUGAGCAACCUGCCCCGAAGACUGGGACAACACCGGGAAACCGGUGCUAAUACCGGAUAUCCCUAUCGGACCGCAUGAUCUGAUAAGGAAAUGUUUUUCGCUUCGGGAGGGGCUCGUGGCCUAUCAGCUAGUUGGUGAGGUAAUAGCUCACCAAGGCAUCGACGGGUAGCUGGUCUGAGAGGACGAUCAGCCACACUGGGACUGAGACACGGCCCAGACUCCUACGGGAGGCAGCAGUGGGGAAUCUUGCGCAAUGGGCGAAAGCCUGACGCAGCAACGCCGCGUGGAGGACGAAUGCUUUCUGAGUUGUAAACUCCUUUCAGCAGGGACGAUUGUGACGGUACCUGCAGAAGAAGCACCGGCCAACUACGUGCCAGCAGCCGCGGUGAUACGUAGGGUGCAAGCGUUAUCCGGAAUUAUUGGGCGUAAAGAGCUCGUAGGCGGUUUGAUUAGUCGGGUGUGAAACCUCCAGGCUUAACCUGGAGCCGCCAUUCGAUACUGUCAUGACUAGAAUUCGGUAGGGGACCACGGAAUUCCUGGUGUAGCGGUGAAAUGCGCAGAUAUCAGGAGGAACACCAGCAGCGAAGGNNGGUGGUCUGGGCCGACAUUGACGCUGAGGAGCGAAAG
RNAcentral lists this ribosomal RNA (696 nucleotides) under uncultured Actinomycetes bacterium. Its description in RNAcentral is "bacterial SSU rRNA". It matches the Rfam family "Bacterial small subunit ribosomal RNA", at positions 56 to 759 of the family's 1533-position model. Lineage: Bacteria; Bacillati; Actinomycetota; Actinomycetes. The record is from RNAcentral.